RNAcentral lists this ribosomal RNA (483 nucleotides) under uncultured bacterium. RNAcentral describes it as "partial 16S ribosomal RNA". It matches the Rfam family "Bacterial small subunit ribosomal RNA", at positions 29 to 506 of the family's 1533-position model. The record is from RNAcentral.
AUUGAACGCUGGCGGCAUGCUUUACACAUGCAAGUCGAACGGCAGCGCGGGCUUCGGCCUGGCGGCGAGUGGCGAACGGGUGAGUAAUGCAUCGGAACGUGCCCAGUAGUGGGGGAUAGCCCGGCGAAAGCCGGAUUAAUACCGCAUACGACCUGAGGGUGAAAGCGGGGGACCGAAAGGCCUCGCGCUAUUGGAGCGGCCGAUGUCGGAUUAGCUAGUUGGUGGGGUAAAGGCUUACCAAGGCGACGAUCCGUAGCUGGUCUGAGAGGACGACCAGCCACACUGGGACUGAGACACGGCCCAGACUCCUACGGGAGGCAGCAGUGGGGAAUUUUGGACAAUGGGGGCAACCCUGAUCCAGCCAUGCCGCGUGCGGGAAGAAGGCCUUCGGGUUGUAAACCGCUUUUGUUCGGGAAGAAAUCCUCUGGGCUAAUACCCCGAGGGGAUGACGGUACCGGAAGAAUAAGCACCGGCUAACUACGU